RNAcentral lists this ribosomal RNA (306 nucleotides) under Clostridioides difficile. RNAcentral's name for it is "bacterial LSU rRNA". It matches the Rfam family "Bacterial large subunit ribosomal RNA", at positions 658 to 964 of the family's 2925-position model. The record is from RNAcentral. Lineage: Bacteria; Bacillati; Bacillota; Clostridia; Peptostreptococcales; Peptostreptococcaceae.
GUGCGGAGCCGUAGCGAAAGCGAGUUUUAACUGAGCGUUCAGUUACUUGACGUAGACCCGAAACCGGGCGACCUACCCAUGAGCAGGAUGAAGCGAAAGUAAAAUUUCGUGGAGGUCCGAACCCACGAGCGUUGAAAAGCUCGGGGAUGACUUGUGGGUAGCGGUGAAAUUCCAAUCGGGCCCGGAGAUAGCUGGUUCUCCCCGAAAUAGCUUUAGGGCUAGCCUCAAGGUGAGAGAUACGGAGGUAGAGCACUGAAUGUCCUAGGGGGUAUUGCACCUACCGAAGACUAUCAAACUCCGAAUGCC